RNAcentral lists this ribosomal RNA (253 nucleotides) under uncultured bacterium. RNAcentral's name for it is "partial 16S ribosomal RNA". It matches the Rfam family "Bacterial small subunit ribosomal RNA", at positions 524 to 776 of the family's 1533-position model. The record is from RNAcentral.
UACGGAGGGUGCAAACGUUGCUCGGAAUCAUUGGGCGUAAAGCGCACGUAGGCGGCGCGUUAAGUCGGGCGUGAAAUCCCCAGGCUCAACCUGGGAACUGCGCUCGAAACUGUGGGUCUAGAGUGUCGGAGAGGAUGGCGGAAUUCCUGGUGUAGAGGUGAAAUUCGUAGAUAUCAGGAGGAACACCGGUGGCGAAGGCGGCCAUCUGGACGACAACUGACGCUGAGACGCGAAAGCGUGGGGAGCAAACAGG